This 183-nucleotide ribosomal RNA is filed under the name uncultured bacterium. RNAcentral's name for it is "partial 16S ribosomal RNA". It matches the Rfam family "Bacterial small subunit ribosomal RNA", at positions 82 to 277 of the family's 1533-position model. The record is from RNAcentral.
AUACAAAUGGCGCACGGCGCACGGGUGCGUAACACGUGGGUAACCUGCCCUUUAGUGGGGAAUAACCCCGGGAAACCGGGGCUAAUACCGCAUAAGAUCCGCACGGAUGAAAGCCGUAAGGCGCUGAUGGAGGGGCCCGCGCACGAUUAGCUAGUUGGUAGGGUAACGGCCUACCAAGGCUAU